UGAGGAAUAUUGGUCAAUGGACGCAAGUCUGAACCAGCCAUACCGCGUGAAGGAUGAAGGCCUUCUGGGUUGUAAACUUCUUUUAUCUGGGAAGAAACCCCCGAUUUCUAUUGGGGCCGACGGUACCAGAGGAAUAAGCACCGGCUAACUCCGUGCCAGCAGCCGCGGUAAUACGGAGGGUGCAAGCGUUAUCCGGAUUUACUGGGUUUAAAGGGUGUGUAGGCGGGCAGAUAAGUCAGUGGUGAAAUCUCCGAGCUCAACUUGGAAACUGCCAUUGAUACUAUUUGUCUUGAAUAUUGUUGAGGUGGGCGGAAUAUGUCAUGUAGCGGUGAAAUGCAUAGAGAUGACAUAGAACACCAAUUGCGAAGGCAGCUCGCUAAACAAUUAUUGACGCUGAGGCACGAAAGCGUGGGGAUCAAACAGG
Molecule: ribosomal RNA, 424 nt
Filed under: uncultured bacterium
Lineage: Bacteria
Description: bacterial SSU rRNA
Rfam family: Bacterial small subunit ribosomal RNA
Source: RNAcentral